This 368-nucleotide ribosomal RNA is filed under the name uncultured organism. RNAcentral describes it as "bacterial SSU rRNA". It matches the Rfam family "Bacterial small subunit ribosomal RNA", at positions 526 to 896 of the family's 1533-position model. The record is from RNAcentral.
CGUAGGUGGCAAGCGUUGUCCGGAUUUAUUGGGUUUAAAGGGUGCGUAGGCAGCCCUGUAAGUCAGUGCUGAAAUACCCCGGCUUAACCGGGAGGGUGGCAUUGAUACUGCAGGGCUUGAGUAAAGUUGAGGUUGGCGGAAUUGACGGUGUAGCGGUGAAAUGCUUAGAUAUCGUCAAGAACACCGAUAGUGAAGACAGCUAACUAAGCUUUAACUGACGCUGAGGCACGAAAGUGUGGGGAUCAAACAGGAUUAGAUACCCUGGUAGUCCACACUGUAAACGUUGAUUACUCGAUGUUGGCGAUACACAGUCAGCGUCUUAGCGCAAGCGAUAAGUAAUCCACCUGGGGAGUACGCCGGCAACGGUG